Non-coding RNA from Acanthosepion pharaonis, 110 nucleotides. Lineage: Eukaryota; Metazoa; Mollusca; Cephalopoda; Sepiida; Sepiidae. The record is from the annotation of a GenBank genome assembly.
AUGGCCAUAUUACAUUGAAACCUUGGCUCCUAUAUGAUCACAGAAGUUAAGCAGCAUUAAGUUUGGUCAGUACCUAGAUAGGUGACCACUUGAGAAUACCAGGUACUGUA